AGUGAACGCUGGCGGCGUGCCUAACACAUGCAAGUCGAACGGGCUAGUGCUUCGCACUAGUCUCUUUCUGGGGUUGUUACUCUAAGGCUACCUGCUAAAGUUAUUGCUUUAAAGCAGGGGUUUUAGGAGACUUUCUCCGAAAGGGGCCAGUGCGGAGCACUGGCCAGUGGCGAACGGGUGAGUAACACGUGGGUAAUCUACCCUCGAGUGGGGAAUAAGCUUCCGAAAGGGGGUCUAAUGCCGCAUAACGUUUCAUAACGAUGGUUAUGAAACCAAAGCCCAAAAGGCGCUCGAGGAGGAGCCUGCGUCCUAUCAGCUUGUUGGCAGGGUAAUGGCCUACCAAGGCUAUGACGGGUAGCCGGCCUGAGAGGGUGUCCGGCCACACUGGAACUGAGACACGGUCCAGACUCCUACGGGAGGCAGCAGUGGGGAAUUUUGCGCAAUGGGGGAAACCCUGACGCAGCGACGCCGCGUGGAGGAUGACGGCCUUCGGUUGGUAACGUUACCUGUCAGAAGGACGAAAGUACCG
Molecule: ribosomal RNA, 529 nt
Filed under: uncultured bacterium
Lineage: Bacteria
Description: bacterial SSU rRNA
Rfam family: Bacterial small subunit ribosomal RNA
Source: RNAcentral